UAAAUUUUGUUCGCCGCGAUGAAGAGUUUGAUUUUGAUUUUGUCCUCAAUACUUAAUUAUUUAAACAAGAUGAAAGCCAUGCGGUAGUGUUAAUUGUCUGCAAUUGGAUACUGAUUACAAUGUAGUCCAAGAAUAUUUGAAGAAUUCACCCGGCCGGUCUUGUGCUUUCUGGUCCCACGUGUUGCUGGAGCAAUAUGUAAGUGACACCUACUGUACUCUUGCACCAGAAAUAGAAAGACAGCCUGCCGGGAUGUCAAGCCAUGAUCAAAGGUGGCAAAACGUGGAGAAAUUGUAAGAAACGGAAAGGAUUCAAAUGAUUUCUCUUACAUUCACGAAUUGGGGAAAAAGUAGGCCGCAAAUUUAAGUUUUCUUUGAAGCAGUGGUGUUGAGGCAAUAGCCUGAUAAAACUAGAAACCUCGACAAUUACUUGGCUUUUGAUGUUUUUCUCUUGACAUUCAGCAGAGAAUUUACUCUUUGUUGGGCGAUUAGCUGUAGAGCCCACGACGUUUGUAAUUUAAGAUAAGAAAUAUGCCGAGGCUCUAGUUCAUUCGUGGCUAUGUUGAAUGCAAAGUCGUGAAGUCCCAUACUCUGUACACUGAGGAAACCAAUUUAUAAGGCGAAUGCAUUUUGAGUGGACUGAUGGCGGUGUGCCUUUCUUGUAAGCAUGUGGCAGUGAAAUAAUUCUGAAGGAGAUCGAAUGACUUGAAAUUGCCACAAUGUUUUCAUGAAUGUUAUCUCCAAUUGAUAAAUAAAAACAAAACUUGUACUUGUAAUAUAACGUGA
This is a long non-coding RNA of Drosophila guanche, 783 nucleotides long. RefSeq lists it as uncharacterized. The transcript has 12 exons. NCBI's taxonomy places the organism in Eukaryota, Metazoa, Arthropoda, Insecta, Diptera, Drosophilidae. The record is from RefSeq and is a predicted model, not a curated record.